AAUACAAUGGCUUCUGGUCAAUUCAGUCAUAAGAUGUAUUCCUGGCUGGAAAAUUCUGCUAUUUGGAAUCUACAGUUAGACAAGACUGCAUGUUAGACUCUGAAGUUAGGCAGGGUCACAACGCUGGACAGGUAUGGAAUGUAUUCGGUGUUGAGGAGUUUGGACAGUACAGCAGCAGCUGCUCUAGAGCAUAAACAGAUGGUGAAUGUUCAACUUGAUUACAUUGACCAGACGGAAUUGGAUAACAAACUCGAAAUAGUUUGAGAAAAAAGCACACGUAUGAUGCCUAGAGAUGUAAAAGCCAUUUUGCAAGAAUGAGAAUGAGUGCUACAUGCUAAGGAAGGUGGAAUGGAAAGUUAAGAACAGUUAAGAAUGAGGUGAAGACUAGAAAAGGGAAAAUUGUCUUUGUUGAAGAGCGCUUGUCUCCUGACAGUUACUCAGUGAUGCAAAGCUAAAAAGAGCACUGUGCUCAUGGUGGAAAAUAAUUCCCAGGACUUGACAGGGAAGAAUGCACUCAUUCCACACCCCGGGCAGAAGUCUGCUGAGAUAAACAGAAGAAAGAUAGUUAGUGAGCAAAUUCAUCAAGACCAAUAUCAAGUAUUUCUCCCCCUGGCCUGAUGGCUGAUUUGCACUCCUCCUGUAAGCAACAAAACUGCAAAACCAGUGCUACAAAACAGAAGCACCUGUAAGUCCGUGGGAGCACAUCUUUGCUCAACAAGAGAUCCUGACAACUAACAACUAA
This 742-nucleotide long non-coding RNA is filed under the name Pan troglodytes (chimpanzee). Its description in RNAcentral is "lincRNA". The record is from RNAcentral. Lineage: Eukaryota; Metazoa; Chordata; Mammalia; Primates; Hominidae.